This 375-nucleotide ribosomal RNA is filed under the name uncultured bacterium. RNAcentral's name for it is "bacterial SSU rRNA". It matches the Rfam family "Bacterial small subunit ribosomal RNA", at positions 524 to 898 of the family's 1533-position model. The record is from RNAcentral.
UACGUAGGUGGCAAGCGUUGUCCGGAAUUAUUGGGCGUAAAGGGAGCGCAGGUGGGAAUGUAAGUCAGUCUUAAAAGUGCGGGGCUCAACCCCGUGAGGGGAUUGAAACUACAUUUCUUGAGUGCAGGAGAGGAAAGUGGAAUUCCUAGUGUAGCGGUGAAAUGCGUAGAGAUUAGGAGGAACACCAGUGGCGAAGGCGACUUUCUGGACUGUAACUGACACUGAGGCUCGAAAGCCAGGGGAGCGAACGGGAUUAGAUACCCCGGUAGUCCUGGCCGUAAACGAUGGAUACUAGGUGUGGGAGGUACCGACCCCUUCCGUGCCGGAGUUAACGCAAUAAGUAUCCCGCCUGGGGAGUACGGUCGCAAGAUUAAA